UGGGGAAUAUUGGACAAUGGGCGAAAGCCUGAUCCAGCCAUGCCGCGUGUGUGAAGAAGGCCUUCGGGUUGUAAAGCACUUUAAGUUGGGAGGAAAAGCGGUACGUGAAUAUCGUAUAGCCAUGACGUUACCAACAGAAUAAGCACCGGCAAACUCCGUGCCAGCAGCCGCGGUAAUACGGAGGGUGCGAGCGUUAAUCGGAAUUACUGGGCGUAAAGCGCACGUAGGCGGUUCUGUAAGUGGGAUGUGAAACCCCCGGGCUUAACCUGGGACUUGCAUACCAGACUGCAAAGCUAGAGUAUGAGAGAGGGUGGUGGAAUUUCCGGUGUAGCGGUGAAAUGCGUAGAGAUCGGAAGGAACAUCAGUGGCGAAGGCGGCCACCUGGCUUAAUACUGACGCUGAGGUGCGAAAGCGUGGGGAUCAAACAGG
This 429-nucleotide ribosomal RNA is filed under the name uncultured Gammaproteobacteria bacterium. RNAcentral describes it as "bacterial SSU rRNA". It matches the Rfam family "Bacterial small subunit ribosomal RNA", at positions 355 to 776 of the family's 1533-position model. The record is from RNAcentral. Lineage: Bacteria; Pseudomonadati; Pseudomonadota; Gammaproteobacteria.